RNAcentral lists this ribosomal RNA (292 nucleotides) under uncultured bacterium. Its description in RNAcentral is "partial 16S ribosomal RNA". It matches the Rfam family "Bacterial small subunit ribosomal RNA", at positions 32 to 334 of the family's 1533-position model. The record is from RNAcentral.
AAUCAACGCUGGCGGCGUGCCUAACACAUGCAAGUCGAACGCGAAAGGGACUUCGGUUCUUAGUAGAGUGGCGUACGGGUGAGUAACGCGUGGGUCAUCUGCCCUCGGGUGGGGAAUAACUAAUCGAAAGGUUAGCUAAUACCGCAUAACACAGUGAUGUCAAAGCAGCAAUGUGCCUGAGGAGGAGCCUGCGUCUGAUUAGGUAGUUGGUGGGGUAAUGGCCUACCAAGCCUGCGAUCAGUAGCUGGUCUGAGAGGACGGCCAGCCACAAUGGCACUGAAACACGGGCCAU